RNAcentral lists this ribosomal RNA (497 nucleotides) under uncultured bacterium. Its description in RNAcentral is "partial 16S ribosomal RNA". It matches the Rfam family "Bacterial small subunit ribosomal RNA", at positions 28 to 507 of the family's 1533-position model. The record is from RNAcentral.
GACGAACGCUGGCGGCGUGCCUAAUACAUGCAAGUUGAGCGAUGAAGAUUGGUGCUUGCACCAAUUUGAAGAGCAGCGAACGGGUGAGUAACGCGUGGGGAAUCUGCCUUUGAGCGGGGGACAACAUUUGGAAACGAAUGCUAAUACCGCAUAACAACUUUAAACAUAAGUUUUAAGUUUGAAAGAUGCAAUUGCAUCACUCAAAGAUGAUCCCGCGUUGUAUUAGCUAGUUGGUGAGGUAAAGGCUCACCAAGGCGAUGAUACAUAGCCGACCUGAGAGGGUGAUCGGCCACAUUGGGACUGAGACACGGCCCAAACGCCUACGGGAGGCAGCAGUAGGGAAUCUUCGGCAAUGGACGAAAGCCUGACCGAGCAACGCCGCGUGAGUGAAGAAGGUUUUCGGAUCGUAAAACUCUGUUGGUAGAGAAGAACGUUGGUGAGAGUGGAAAGCUCAUCAAGUGACGGUAACUACACAGAAAGGGACGGCUAACUACGUG